Oscillochloris trichoides is the source of this 73-nucleotide transfer RNA. It matches the Rfam family "tRNA". From Rfam's summary of the family: Transfer RNA (tRNA) molecules are approximately 80 nucleotides in length. Their secondary structure includes four short double-helical elements and three loops (D, anti-codon, and T loops). The record is from Rfam. Lineage: Bacteria; Bacillati; Chloroflexota; Chloroflexia; Chloroflexales; Oscillochloridaceae.
GCGGGAGUAACUCAGUUGGUAGAGUACCUGCUUCCCAAGCAGGCUGUCGCGAGUUCGAGUCUCGUCUCCCGCU